AUUGAACGCUGGCGGCAUGCCUUACACAUGCAAGUCGAACGGCAGCACGGGUGCUUGCACCUGGUGGCGAGUGGCGAACGGGUGAGUAAUACAUCGGAACAUGUCCUGUAGUGGGGGAUAGCCCGGCGAAAGCCGGAUUAAUACCGCAUACGAUCUACGGAUGAAAGCGGGGGACCUUCGGGCCUCGCGCUAUAGGGUUGGCCGAUGGCUGAUUAGCUAGUUGGUGGGGUAAAGGCCUACCAAGGCGACGAUCAGUAGCUGGUCUGAGAGGACGACCACCAAACAGGGAACUGGAACACGGCCACACCCCCUAGGGGGGGAAGAGGGGGGAAAUUUGGGAAAAGGGGGGAAACCCGGACCCGGAAAUGCGGGGGGGUGGAAAAAGGCUUUGGGGUUUAAAAGCAUUUUUUUCGGAAAAAAAAUCCUUGGCCCUAAUACGGGCGGGGGAGGCGGGAACCGGAAAAAAAAGCACCGGUAACCUAGGG
Molecule: ribosomal RNA, 485 nt
Filed under: uncultured bacterium
Lineage: Bacteria
Description: partial 16S ribosomal RNA
Rfam family: Bacterial small subunit ribosomal RNA
Source: RNAcentral